Molecule: ribosomal RNA, 429 nt
Filed under: Chloroflexota bacterium
Lineage: Bacteria; Bacillati; Chloroflexota
Description: Chloroflexi bacterium partial 16S ribosomal RNA
Rfam family: Bacterial small subunit ribosomal RNA
Source: RNAcentral
UAGGGAAUCUUCGGCAAUGGACGAAAGUCUGACCGAGCAACGCCGCGUGAGUGAAGAAGGUUUUCGGAUCGUAAAACUCUGUUGUUAGAGAAGAACAAGGACGUUAGUAACUGAACGUCCCCUGACGGUAUCUAACCAGAAAGCCACGGCUAACUACGUGCCAGCAGCCGCGGUAAUACGCAGGUGGCAAGCGUUGUCCGGAUUUAUUGGGCGUAAAGCGAGCGCAGGCGGUUUCUUAAGUCUGAUGUGAAAGCCCCCGGCUCAACCGGGGAGGGUCAGUGGAAACUGGGAGACUUGAGUGCAGAAGAGGAGAGUGGAAUUCCCUGUGUAGCGGUGAAAUGCGUAGAUAUAUGGAGGAACACCAGUGGCGAAGGCGGCUCUCUGGUCUGUAACUGACGCUGAGGCUCGAAAGCGUGGGGAGCAAACAGG